Molecule: ribosomal RNA, 110 nt
Filed under: uncultured bacterium
Lineage: Bacteria
Description: partial 16S ribosomal RNA
Rfam family: Bacterial small subunit ribosomal RNA
Source: RNAcentral
AAUACGUUCCCGGGCCUUGUACACACCGCCCGUCAAGCCAUGGAAGCUGGGGGUACCUGAAGUCGGUGACCGCAAGGAGCUGCCUAGGGUAAAACUAGUAACUGGGGGCU